Molecule: ribosomal RNA, 172 nt
Filed under: uncultured bacterium
Lineage: Bacteria
Description: partial 16S ribosomal RNA
Rfam family: Bacterial small subunit ribosomal RNA
Source: RNAcentral
ACUCCUACGGGAGGCAGCAGUCGGGAAUAUUGCGCAAUGGAGGAAACUCUGACGCAGUGACGCCGCGUAUAGGAAGAAGGUUUUCGGAUUGUAAACUAUUGUCGUGAGGGAAGAAAUUGACAGUACCUCAGGAGGAAGCUCCGGCUAACUAUGUGCCAGCAGCCGCGGUAAU